Molecule: ribosomal RNA, 505 nt
Filed under: uncultured bacterium
Lineage: Bacteria
Description: bacterial SSU rRNA
Rfam family: Bacterial small subunit ribosomal RNA
Source: RNAcentral
GACGAACGCUGGCGGCGUGGAUUAGGCAUGCAAGUCGGACGGUAGAGCUUUAUCGUAAGAUAGAGUUUGAGAGUGGCGAACGGGUGAGUAACACGUAGGAAUCUACCCUUAAGACGGGGACAACCCAGGGAAACUUGGGCUAAUACCGGAUGAGAGUGCGAGAGAUUGCAUUUAAAAGGAUGGCGAAAGUUGUCGCUUAGGGAUGAGCCUGCGGUCUAUUAGUUAGUUGGCGGGGUAAAGGCCCACCAAGGCGAUGAUAGAUAGGCGGCCUUAACGGGUGGUCGCCCACACUGGGAUUGAGAUACGGCCCAGACUCCUACGGGAGGCAGCAGUCGAGAAUAGUCUACAAUGGCCGAAAGGCUGAUAGUGCGACGCCGCGUGAACGAAGAAGCCCUUCGGGGUGUAAAGUUCUUUUAUAUGUGAGCAGUGCUUUCUAUGUGAACAGCAUGGGGAGAGAGAUAUUAGCAUAUGAAUAAAGCAAACGGCUAACUCCCGUGCCAGCACG